Molecule: ribosomal RNA, 250 nt
Filed under: uncultured bacterium
Lineage: Bacteria
Description: partial 16S ribosomal RNA
Rfam family: Bacterial small subunit ribosomal RNA
Source: RNAcentral
UACGGAGGGUGCAAACGUUGCUCGGAAUCAUUGGGCGUAAAGCGCACGUAGGCGGCUCAGUAAGUCGGGUGUGAAAGCCCUCGGCUCAACCGAGGAAGUGCAUUCGAAACUACUGAGCUUGAAUACUGGAGAGGAUCGCGGAAUUCCCGGUGUAGAGGUGAAAUUCGUAGAUAUCGGGAGGAACACCAGUGGCGAAGGCGGCGAUCUGGACAGAUAUUGACGCUGAGGUGCGAAAGCGUGGGGAGCAAAC